Oncorhynchus keta (chum salmon) is the source of this 2152-nucleotide long non-coding RNA. RefSeq lists it as uncharacterized. The record is from RefSeq and is a predicted model, not a curated record. The transcript has 4 exons. NCBI's taxonomy places the organism in Eukaryota, Metazoa, Chordata, Actinopteri, Salmoniformes, Salmonidae.
GGCUAUUUGAGUGUGAAAAACUACACAGUUAGCCAUGUUAGCUAACGUUAACUACGAAGUUAGCCAGCUAGCGUUACCUAGAAAAAUAACAUCGAGUAUUGUCUCCAACGUGAAUUAAAGACUCCCUGAGUGUUGUUCCCCAGCCCAGAGUUGAGGACGCUGUCCCAUCCACUGAUGUCACCUGGGACAUUGGCUGCACUGGUCUGGGAAUCCAAGAUGGCCACCCAGUCUCCUUUGUUAGCCUCCAGCCAACCACCUGCAGGAAGAGGUUACAAAAUAGAGUUACAAAAAUAAGGAAACCCACAUAUGGAGUUCUAUGGACAAAACAACAGCCAGUCCACUCAGCAGAUCAAUGCUCUCUGGUCCGUCUUCUAUCAUCUCCUGUUUGACCAGCAGCAGAUCAGGCUUCCCAUCCUCCAUGUCUACUGACUGCAAUAGUAAAGGGCUCCCGAGUGGCGCAGCGGUCUAAGGCAUUGCAUCUCAGUGCUAGAGGCAUCACUACAGACCCUGGUCCGAUCCCGGGCUGUAUCACAACCGGCCGUGAUCGGGAUUCCCAUAGGAACGGCGCACAAUUGGUCCAUUGUCAUCCGGGUUGGGAGGGUUUGGCCGUCAUUGUAAAUAAGAAUUUGUUCUUAACUGACUUGUAUAACAUUUCAAAAAUAAAACCCUCAACCAUGAAAGACUAGCAUGCAUGUUGUUGACGUUUGUUCUGUACGUGCAGUUAAGGGCGAGGUGUGCUGCUCUGUUUUGAGCCAGCUGCAGGUUUGCUACGUCUUUCUUUGCUGCACUUGACCAUAUUACCAGACAGUAAUCAGAACCGUAACAGUUGAUUUUACAGUACAGUUGAUUUGUGUCAAAAACACAACAGACAUUCCCCUCCCCAUCUUCACAACAACUCUGUCAUUAUGACUUGACCAUAAGAAUGUCCGAAAGUAAUUUAGCCAUUCAUUGUAGUCAUAGCGAUCUGUAGAGUUGCUAUUUCUGCAAGUUUUUGUGUGUCAAUUAACUUGUAACAUUCCUGGAUUACUCAUUAUACCAAUAUAGUCAGAUUUAAUCAAGAAAUGCAAUAGUCAGUUGAAAAAAUGUUGAGUGCAGGACUGUUAAUAUCUGUCUGUGUUGGCAAAAUCACUACAUAUCCCAUCGAGCCGAGCGGGGGGAGGCUGCCCGUUGUCACAGUUCCAAGACCAGUCAGAAACGUCCAGCUGAUGAUGAUGAUGCCGGUUGAUCUCAAAACUGAACUUGCAUCCACGUUAAGUAGCAAUGAUAUCCUUUACCAUCAUGCUGUUUUGUCACUCAACGGAUCAUUAGAAAAUGGUGAAUCGUUGAAAGUUAUUGCUAUUGCAAAGCUCUUAAUAUUAAAGAUGUAGUUUAAGUAUAACUGACUUGUGGGAUAAGUUUGUCUCCUAAUUUGAUAAUACAGAAAUAAACCACCACAGUACUCAAAACAAUACAUAAUUUAUGUUUUAACCCCAGCUAAUUUCUUAGUCACAUGAUUGUAUCACUAGCAAAGGAGUUUUGAAGUUGAGGGUGUAGUAUUUAUGAAGUUUGGCAUAGUUCAGCUAGCCAGCUAAUCUAGCCCACUGAGGUAUAAGAACAGUUUAGCCAGGGAUAACGAGCUCGGGUCUAGUGCGCAUGUGCACCAUCUGGGCCCACAUGCACACGAGGCUAAUUAAGGAGACAGAUUGUAGUUUGUAUGCCCUUUUAUUUUUUAUUUUACCUUUAUUUUACUAGGCAAGUCAGUUAAGAACAAAUUCUUAUUUUCAAUGACGGCCUAGGAACAGUGGGUUAACUGCCUGUUCAGGAGCAGAACGACAGAUUUUGUACCUUGUCAGCUCGGGGAUUUGAACUUGCAACCUUUCGGUUACUUGUCCAAUGCUCUAACCACUAGGCUACCCUGCUGAUUAGUCAUUGAAAUGAUUGGCAAUAUCGAAAGGUUUUGUUACAAAUGACCCAUGAGAAUGAACAAUGGAGAAGAAUUUGGGAUUUCUGCCAGGUACUCAAGUUUUUUUUCUGCAGAAAGGUGGCAAAAAAAAGUCAGGCUAAGAUGAUUGGUUGACAUACUGUAAAUGUAGAUAUAUAUAUAUUUUUUUACAAAACUUAACAAAAAAUGAAAUUGUUAUUAAACCUAGAUAAAUUACAUGAAACGCAAUGC